Erinaceus europaeus (western European hedgehog) is the source of this 83-nucleotide microRNA precursor. Ensembl annotates it as microRNA 541. Its record names the gene MIR541. The record is from Ensembl. Lineage: Eukaryota; Metazoa; Chordata; Mammalia; Eulipotyphla; Erinaceidae.
AAGUCAGGGAAAGGAUUCUGCUGUCGGUCCCACUCCACGACUCGCAGACGGGUGGUGGGCACAGAAUCCAGACUCUGCUUAUG